CAAAGUUGCAGUAGGAAGGAAGGAAUGGGGAAAAAGUUCUCGGUUGUGUGCAGAUGAGUUGUGUUGCGUUCAUGAACUGCUCGGAUUUCUAGGCAUCAGCCACCUUGCUCUCCGUAACAAUGUGGACCCCAGCACUUCUACUGUUCAUUAUUUGACUCGUCUAGUGUCGAUAUAUACAAAAGUAUCCUUUCCAUUUUAUCCAUAUGUGACGACCGUUAAUCCUCCCUCCUUUUUUUUAUUCCAACACAUUAUCGAGGACAGCUAGGUGGGAGAUGCCUAGAAAUCCGAGCAGUUCUUGAACACGACAUGAGCGGCUAUCUAGCGCCAUGGCGCCAUACAAGCUUAAACGUCAUCUCCAAAUGAACGCCCGUCGCUUCAGAACAAGUCGAUGGAUUAUUUUGUGCGCCUUCAUGAAAACACAGAGAAAUGGGCAACUUUUUUGAGAAAAACUACAAAGAAACUAAAGACUAACUCAAGCCAUGACAAAGACGCGACCGAAAGUCAACAUGAAGGGAUAGCACUGCCACCUCCUGCAGUUUCACUGACUGACACUAUCAUCAGAAAAUAUAACGGCCGGGUCUGCAUGGAAAACAAGCUGGAUAGCGGCUCUCGAGGAUCGGAGUUGGAUGCCCCUGAAAUAGACGAAGUGAUGUCAGGGUGUGAUUUUAUGUAAAUAAUUCUCAAUCCAGUUCAGAGUAGUUUUAUUAAAUUUUUAUGUGCAUUUAAAUAGUCUUGAAAUUUUAUACUAUUUCUUCAACUCUUGAACAUAAAAUAUGCUAUUUUACGUUGUUAUGCAGAAGAACAUUUAUUCAGAGACUCAAAUGAAAACGGUCAUCCAAAUUAUGACAUCAAAGCACGAUUGGGUUAUAAAAUCGAGGUAUGUCUUAAGUAAUAAUACACAAAGUACAAAAGGAAUUGGUAUUAAUGCUUCUAUAAAUGAACAUGUUUUUCAUAGGUACUAAAUUGAUCAGUGAAGCCAGUGUCAAAGCAAACCCUAAGCUUCAUCACUGCAAUACGAUCUUGCUAAAGUAAACUAGGGUCUUCCCAGUCCCAAUCAAGAAAACAAUAAAACACUACUCUGCAGUGGGCGAGUACCGUCCACACCUGUAGCCUGACAAGUGAGCGUCGCAUUUGAUACUGUAUGAAAAGUAGAGGACUCCUUUUCUCAGUUGACAGCUUAGGGAAUGAUGUCCGCGCUCAGGAAAAACGAGACAAAUCCCCGCUUGAUCGUUGUAAAGCACGUCUCUGUCCCAGACUUCAAACCGCAACUCCUGCCCCACCUCCACCGAACCAAAGUCAUAGGUGGCGUUCCACACAGGGUUGUUGUCGUCCAUCACUGUUGGCGUCUCCUCGUACACACCGUUGUAGAAGAUCUUCACAAAGGCGUCUGUUUUGGUAAAAGUGUCAGCCUUAAGACCAGCAGCUUUGUGGAUCUCCAGUUUAAGAGUUCCACGACCACCCCGCAAAGGACAGCAGUUAUGGUCGAGGUUUGGGGUCGGAGAGCAAUUCUUUAAACCCAGCUCCUCCUCCUGCAGUUUGUUCUCUUGAAUAUACUCUGAGAUGAUAUCUCUCAGGUUAUCGCUAAUCUGAGGGUCCUCUACCAGAUGGUGCAGAGGGGAAAUCCCGUACGAAACAACGUCUGGGUUUUCUUGGAGACUGUUCAUCCAACUUUGAUAGGCUUCUGAAGGGUCCUGCUGGUAGAGGAUGUCCGGAAAGUAUUUCUCCCCUCCAAUGACUUCAGUUUUAUGGGUCAUGAAGCCUUGAUAGAAGCCAAGGCUCAGGUUUCCCUUCAUCAGGCUGUCACACUUGUUUGAGAAGGAUGCAUUGGCAGGUAGGAAACCCAAGGCCAUGCGGAGUUCAGCAUUCAGGCAGUUUUUAAUCUCUGCCUCUUUAUAGCCUUUGAGUGUGGCCAGGCAGGUCCUGAAGGCUGUGAUUCGCCUCACCUUGCCACCAAGUUGAACCUUGGAAAUGAAAUAACAGAAAAUUUAGUUGUUACGUUCCCGUAGCAAAGGAACUAUGAGCUAGGCAUCUGACCUGGUGGAUGUAAUGUGUCCCGUAGGUGUCAAUAAGUCGUCUGUACAUGGCUUUGC
Corythoichthys intestinalis (scribbled pipefish) is the source of this 2090-nucleotide long non-coding RNA. RefSeq lists it as uncharacterized. Lineage: Eukaryota; Metazoa; Chordata; Actinopteri; Syngnathiformes; Syngnathidae. The transcript has 3 exons. The record is from RefSeq and is a predicted model, not a curated record.